AGAGUUUGAUCCUGGCUCAGGACUAACGCUGGCGGUGUGUCUUAGACAUGCAAGUCGAGCGGGGUUUCGAUAGCAAUACCGGAACCUAGCGGCGAACGGGUGAGCAAUGCAAGAGUAACGUACCCUCAGGAUGGGCAUAGCUCCGGGAAACCGGAGGUAAUUCCCAGUGUGACGGCUGAGUCGCAUGACAUGGCCGUGAAAGACGGAGCAAUCUGUCGCCUUUGGAGCGGCUCUUGACCUAUCAGGCAGUUGGCGGGGUAACGGCCCACCAAACCUUUGACGGGUAGUCGGCGUGAGAGCGUGACCGGCCACAAGGGAACUGCGACACGGUCCCUACUCCUACGGGAGGCAGCAGUCUAGAAAAUUGGGCAAUGGGCGAAAGCCUGACCCAGCGACACCGCGUGGGGGAUGAAGUUCUUCGGGAUGUAAACUCCUGUCAGGCGGAGCGAUGCUGCACAUAUUAACUGUAUGUGCAGUGACGGUACUGCCAAAGGAAGCACCGGCUAACUACGUGCCAGCAGCCGCGGUAAUACGUAGGGUGCAAGCGUUGUCCGGAAUUACUGGGCGUAAAGGGUGUGUAGGCGGUUGAGUAAGUCAAUGGUGAAAGCUCCGGGCUUAACCCGGAAAUUGCCGUCGAUACUACUUGACUUGAGGGCAGAAGAGGAGGUCGGAACUUUCGGUGUAGCGGUAGAAUGCGUAGAUAUCGAAAGGAACGCCGAUAGCGAAGGCAGACCUCUGGGAUGUUCCUGACGCUGAAACACGAAAGCUGGGGGAGCAAACAGGAUUAGAUACCCUGGUAGUCCCAGCCCUAAACGAUGUACACUAGGUGUUGCCCUUUUGGGCAGUACCGGAGCUAACGCGUUAAGUGUACCGCCUGGGGACUACGGCCGCAAGGUUGAAACUCAAAGGAAUUGACGG
Molecule: ribosomal RNA, 918 nt
Filed under: uncultured Spirochaetota bacterium
Lineage: Bacteria; Pseudomonadati; Spirochaetota
Description: bacterial SSU rRNA
Rfam family: Bacterial small subunit ribosomal RNA
Source: RNAcentral